CAGUAGCCGCGGUAAUACGGAGGAUCCAAGCGUUAUCCGGAUUUAUUGGGUUUAAAGGGUGCGUAGGUGGCCUGUUAAGUCAGGGGUGAAAGACGGUAGCUCAACUAUCGCAGUGCCCUUGAUACUGAUGGGCUUGAAUGAACUAGAGGUAGGCGGAAUGUGACAAGUAGCGGUGAAAUGCAUAGAUAUGUCACAGAACACCAAUUGCGAAGGCAGCUUACUAUGGUUUUAUUGACACUGAGGCACGAAAGCGUGGGGAUCAAACAGGAUUAGAUACCCCAGUAGUCCCUGUCUCUUAUAA
RNAcentral lists this ribosomal RNA (301 nucleotides) under uncultured bacterium. RNAcentral describes it as "partial 16S ribosomal RNA". It matches the Rfam family "Bacterial small subunit ribosomal RNA", at positions 509 to 809 of the family's 1533-position model. The record is from RNAcentral.